AUUGAACGCUGGCGGCAGGCUUAACACAUGCAAGUCGAGCGGCAGCACGGGAGCAAUCCUGGUGGCGAGUGGCGAACGGGUGAGUAAAGUAUCGGAACGUGCCCAGUCGUGGGGGAUAACGUAGCGAAAGUUACGCUAAUACCGCAUACGAUCUAUGGAUGAAAGCGGGGGAUCGCAAGACCUCGCGCGAUUGGAGCGGCCGAUAUCAGAUUAGGUAGUUGGUGGGGUAAAGGCUCACCAAGCCGACGAUCUGUAGCUGGUCUGAGAGGACGACCAGCCACACUGGGACUGAGACACGGCCCAGACUCCUACGGGAGGCAGCAGUGGGGAAUUUUGGACAAUGGGCGAAAGCCUGAUCCAGCCAUGCCGCGUGCAGGAUGAAGGCCUUCGGGUUGUAAACUGCUUUUGUACGGAACGAAAAGGUUUGGCCUAAUAAGCUGAGCUCAUGACGGUACCGUAAGAAUAAGCACCGGCUAACUACGUGCCAGCAGCCGCAGUAA
RNAcentral lists this ribosomal RNA (500 nucleotides) under uncultured bacterium. Its description in RNAcentral is "partial 16S ribosomal RNA". It matches the Rfam family "Bacterial small subunit ribosomal RNA", at positions 30 to 523 of the family's 1533-position model. The record is from RNAcentral.